This 447-nucleotide ribosomal RNA is filed under the name uncultured bacterium. RNAcentral describes it as "bacterial SSU rRNA". It matches the Rfam family "Bacterial small subunit ribosomal RNA", at positions 329 to 793 of the family's 1533-position model. The record is from RNAcentral.
GACCAGACUCCUACGGGAGGCAGCAGUGGGGAAUAUUGCACAAUGGGGGAAACCCUGAUGCAGCGACGCCGCGUGAGUGAAGAAGUAUUUCGGUAUGUAAAGCUCUAUCAGCAGGGAAGAAAAUGACGGUACCUGAUUAAGAAGCCCCGGCUAACUACGUGCCAGCAGCCGCGGUAAUACGUAGGGGGCAAGCGUUAUCCGGAUUUACUGGGUGUAAAGGGAGCGUAGACGGCAGUGCAAGUCUGAAGUGAAAGCCCCGGGCUUAACCCGGGAAUUGCUUUGGAAACUGUACGGCUGGAGUGCUGGAGAGGUAAGCGGAAUUCCUAGUGUAGCGGUGAAAUGCGUAGAUAUUAGGAGGAACACCAGUGGCGAAGGCGGCUUACUGGACAGUAACUGACGUUGAGGCUCGAAAGCGUGGGGAGCAAACAGGAUUAGAUACCCGUGUAU